This 22-nucleotide unclassified non-coding RNA is filed under the name Chlamydomonas reinhardtii. RNAcentral's name for it is "small RNA Cre_0321". The record is from RNAcentral. Lineage: Eukaryota; Viridiplantae; Chlorophyta; Chlorophyceae; Chlamydomonadales; Chlamydomonadaceae.
ACGCUGGUGUGGUUUGCGUCCA